UUGCCAUCAACUGACUUUGAUCAGGUAGCAUCGUCUGUUUACUUGGACUUAUAGAGAAAAGAUCCGACAUUUUGUAUUUACGUAGAAAUCAUCGGACACUCAUUCCCUUCCCUGACAUGACUGCGGAUGCUUGAACUUGAUUAAACUAAAGAAAAAACAAUAUUUCUAGAUGUCCUAAAGUGGCAUACACGUCAUAUCUUCUGGUACAAGUAACAAUACAGCUUUCAAAGAGGACAUCAUUUGUUGAUGAUACCGGUGAAUUAUAUUGAAGUUAUCACGUUGGUUGAAAUUGCUUACUUCCUUUUUUCUCUCUUUUACGCUCAUGUCAUUAUUGAACUGAAACGAAAGUCUGACGUAACACAACUAUAUAAAACUGCUGCUAACCAUUUGAAAUGGUCCUCUGUAAACAUCUGCUGUUUGUAUUGACAUGCGCUGUGAUGUGUUUAUGUGUUUCCGGCCAGUUUUCGCCGAGCCUGAUCAGUCAGUUGGUCAAUAACUUACAGUUGUUGAUUUCCGGGCCGAGUCCUGAGCCUGUAGAGGAGAAAAAGACUUCCAUUGUGCCUAUUGCAGCUCUCGCGACCUUUGUUGUUUUGUUGAGGUCGAGAGGGAACUUUAUCAGUCCUUACCAAUGAAGCAAAGAACGGAAACAGGAACUCGACUAAAAUCAAUAUAGACUGAAUGUGACAAAAUUGAUAUGUUUAUAAUUAUUCUUUGUCGUGUACAUGUCAUUUCAUCUAUAUUUUGACAUUUGCUUCCAUUGUAUAACAGCUAUUUACCAAAAUAAACUUAUUUGAAUAAUA
This is a long non-coding RNA of Pecten maximus, 800 nucleotides long. RefSeq lists it as uncharacterized. The record is from RefSeq and is a predicted model, not a curated record. NCBI's taxonomy places the organism in Eukaryota, Metazoa, Mollusca, Bivalvia, Pectinida, Pectinidae. The transcript is spliced from 2 exons.